AACGACUCUCGGCAACGGAUAUCUCGGCUCUCGCAUCGAUGAAGAACGUAGCGAAAUGCGAUACUUGGUGUGAAUUGCAGGAUCCCGCGAACCAUCGAG
Molecule: ribosomal RNA, 99 nt
Filed under: Cayaponia africana
Lineage: Eukaryota; Viridiplantae; Streptophyta; Magnoliopsida; Cucurbitales; Cucurbitaceae
Description: partial 5.8S ribosomal RNA
Rfam family: 5.8S ribosomal RNA
About the family: 5.8S ribosomal RNA (5.8S rRNA) is a component of the large subunit of the eukaryotic ribosome. It is transcribed by RNA polymerase I as part of the 45S precursor that also contains 18S and 28S rRNA. Functionally, it is thought that 5.8S rRNA may be involved in ribosome translocation.
Source: RNAcentral